GCCCCUUUAGCUCAGUUGGUAGAGCGCAGCACUCGUAAUGCUGAGGUCGCUUGUUCGAACCAGGCAGGGGGCA
This 73-nucleotide transfer RNA is filed under the name Coprinellus micaceus. It matches the Rfam family "tRNA". From Rfam's summary of the family: Transfer RNA (tRNA) molecules are approximately 80 nucleotides in length. Their secondary structure includes four short double-helical elements and three loops (D, anti-codon, and T loops). The record is from Rfam by way of RNAcentral. Lineage: Eukaryota; Fungi; Basidiomycota; Agaricomycetes; Agaricales; Psathyrellaceae.